AUGUCUACUACAACUUGUUGUGGCCUAUGUGGUGCUGAGGACUCGUGGCAACAUUCGUUGCUUCAUUGUACUGUCGCCAGGUGUGUUUGGGCACUUCAUGAUCCGGAUUUUGUGGAAGCUUUGAACACAACGACGGAACCAGAUGCAAAACGUUGGAUUUUUAGGGUCCAAGACAUGCUCUCUCCACAAGAAUUCAUCUUUGUAAUCACUACCUUAUGGGCACUGUGGUAUGCGAGACAGAAAUCUACGGGGAGAUCGCCAUCAAUAGCGCCAGUACAGCCAAGAUGGAUCCCUCCGCCUGAAGGGAUAGAAAAAAUACGAGUCGAUGGGGCUGUUUCCAGAGAUGCUAAUUUUGGUUCCUUCAGUGCUGUCUGCAGAAACUCUUCAGGUACAUACUUGGGCGCUUCGGUUAUCAAGAUCUAUGGAGUUUCGGAUCCGGCGACGCUGGAAGCUUUGGCGUUUCGCGAGGCAUUAGCCCUCGCUACUGACCUGGACCUUGCUCGUAUUCUCGUAGCAAGCGACUGCCAAGGUGUAGUCAAUGACAUCAAGAAUCGCACUGGGGUAACUACGCCAGCACACCAGGGAGAUCGUUGA
RNAcentral lists this ribosomal RNA (594 nucleotides) under Triticum aestivum (bread wheat). RNAcentral's name for it is "partial small subunit ribosomal RNA". Lineage: Eukaryota; Viridiplantae; Streptophyta; Magnoliopsida; Poales; Poaceae. The record is from RNAcentral.